AGAUUCUGACCUCUCUCUUUUCCAGGGGAAAAAAACACAAGCUCAGCUGAAGUCAAUGGAGCUGCUCUGCUUUGACCCGGGUGUAAGGAGGAUAAGCAGGAUCCUCAUCUGCCUUCAGCAAUGCAGUUCCUGUCAUAGCGCUGAAGCAAUAAGACAUGACAGGCAAUGCCCCAUGCCUCCAAACUGAGAGGCUGUAAUGACAUCCCGAGGACUUCCCUUAAGGUGGAGGAUAGGCUGGACCACCUUUAGAGAGACACUGGGGAAGGAGACGCUUAUCAAAGCUGGUGACAACUUUUAGCAUGCAUAGGUGCCAAGUGUGUUGAUCAUAUUAGAAGAGGAUAAACGCAACCUGAUAAGGACAACUGCGAUGUUCUGCAUGUUGGUGAGAAUAAUCAAUUGCAAAGGAAUGGAGUGCAGAGCCAGCAGAGCGAGCAGCAGUUGGCUGAAAAGGUAUUGGGGCUGGAGUGGACUGCAUGCUCAAGGCCAGCAGUGUCAUGCAGCUCUUCAUAACAAAAAAAAAAAAAGAGUAAAAAAAGGCAAACAUCAUACUGGGAUAGAUCAGUGAAAGUGUGGUCUGUAAGAUGCGAGAUCAUCCUACUAUUCCACUCAGCAUGAGUAAGACCACAGCUGGGGUGCUAUAUCGAUCCUGGGCUAUGCACUUGAGGACAGUUGUGGUCAGCUUAAGAGGUGAAGAACAGGGAUGACUCAGAAAGAGAAGUGACAAUGAAAAGUUGAAGGAACAUCUGAAGAAAUGACUGACAGAGGCAGUGACAAAUCUGUAAAUAGCUGCUAUGAAGAUGAAAAGAGACUAAUCUUAAUGACAAUUGCAGGAAAGGUAGUGGUGGGCCUAAAUAGUAGAAACAUAUAGCUUGGAAAUUAGAAGAAUUGCCAAUAGGAAUAAUGGAGGCACAAUGGAAUGAGCUGUCUGAGGUUGCCCCACUAGAUGUAUUUAAGAACAGGUUAAAACAUGUUAGUUAGACAUUGCAUGGGUUUGCCUCCAAGCAAGACUGGGAGACCUCCUAAAAGGUCACUUGUUCCUAUUUUUUUAAGCUUCAGUUCUUGGCUGUAAUUGUACUGUUUU
Long non-coding RNA from Pezoporus flaviventris, 1081 nucleotides. RefSeq lists it as uncharacterized. Lineage: Eukaryota; Metazoa; Chordata; Aves; Psittaciformes; Psittacidae. The transcript is spliced from 3 exons. The record is from RefSeq and is a predicted model, not a curated record.